GUCUCCCGUGCAGAAGGCUGCGGAGGAUCCAGAGGGCGUCAGUACCCUGCAGAUUACGGGGCUUCUGCAGCUACGCAGACACCUAGCCGGGUGUCUCCCGUGCGGAAGGCUGCGGAGGAUCCGGAGGGCGUCAGUACCCUGUGGAUUACGGGGAUCCUGUAGCUACGCAGACACCUGGCUCUGUGUCUCCCAUGCAGUAGGCUGUGGAGGAUUCGGAGAGCGUCAGUACCCUGCGGAUUACGGGGCUCCUGCAGCUACACAGACACCUAGCUGGGUGUCUCCCCUGCCGCAUCAGUACCCUGACGAUUAUGGGGCUCCUGCUGCUGUGCAGACACCUAGCCCGGUCUCCCUGCGGAAGGUUGCGGAGGACCCGGAGGGCGUCAGUACCCUGAGGAUUGCGGCUCUCCUGCAGCUGCGCAGACACCUAGCUGGGUGUCUCCCCUGCGGAAGGCUGCGGAGGAUCACGGAGGGCUGCCAAGGAACACGGAGGGCUGCCGAGGAACACGGAGGGCUGCGGAAGAUCACGGAGGGCUGCGUAGGAUCACGGAGGGCUGCGUAGGAUCACGGAGGGCUGCGUAGGAUCACGGAGGGCUGCGUCAGUACCCUGCGGGUUGCGGCACUCCUGCAGCUGCGCACUGAGACUUAGCUGUCUUACCCUGCGAUGGUGUUGGAGAACCCUGGUGAGCGUCUUUACCCUGUGAAUGGCCUGGCGCUGCUGAAGCCCCGCAGAGAAUUAGCUGAGUGACCUCCUCUGUACACGGCUGUAUAGGAUUUGGGUGGGCAUCAUCACCUGUGGAUUACGGGAAUGCUGUAGCUGCGCAUGGAGACCUAGCUGGUAUCCUCCCCUGCUGACGGCUGCGGAGGGUGAGGGGAUGGGAGGAAGCAUCAAUGCUUUGUGCAUCGCGGAGAUGCUGAGGCCAUGCACGAAGAUCUAACUGGGUGUCCCUACCCAGGGGACGGCUGCGGAGGACCUGGGCAGGCGUCAGUAUACUGUGGAUGGUGGUGCUGUGAAAGCUGUGCAUUGAGACCUAGCUGGGUGUCCCUACCCUGCGGAUGGCAGUGGAGAACCCUGGGGGGCAUUUUUACCCUAUGGAUUGCCUGGUGCUGCUGAAGCUGCGCGCAGACCUAGCUGAGUUUUUUCCCCUGCGGAAGCCUGCGGAGGACCUGGGCGGACUCUUUACCCUGUGAAUUGCGGGGCUGCUGAAGCUGCGCACUGAGACUUAGCUGGGUGUCUUCCCCUGUGGAAGGGUGCGAAGAAUCUUGGUAACUUUGGGUGGCUUCUGCAGAUCGCGGGUACGCUGACGCCUCGCGCUGAGACCUAGCUGAGUGUCCUCCCCUGUGGAUAGCUGCGGAGGACCUGGGCGGGCUCUUUAUCCCAUGGAUCGCAGAGCUGCUGGAGCCCUGCACUGAAACGUGGCUGAGUGUUCCCCGCCCCGCAGAUAGCUGUGGAGGACCCCGGCGGGCAUCUUUACCCUGUGGAUUGUCUGGCGCUGUUGAAGCGCGCACUGAGAUGUAGCUGAGCGUUCCCUACCUUACAGGUUACCAGCUGCAGAAGACCCCGGCAGACGGGAGUCCUUAUUGUGGAUUGCCUGGUGCCGCUGAAGCCUGCUGUGAGACGCAGCUCAGCGUUCCCCGCCCCGCAGAUAGCUGCGGAGGACCCCGGCGGGCAUCUUUACCCUGUGGAUUGUCUGGCGCUGUUGAAGCGCGCACUGAGAUGUAGCUGAGCGUUCCCCGCCCCGCAGAUAGCUACGGAGGACGGGCGUCCUUACCCUGUGGAUUGCCUGGCGCUGCUGAAGUCCGCACUGAGACCUAGCUGAGCGUUCCCUACUCGGCAGUUAGCUGUGGAGCACCCCGGCGGGCAUCUUUACCCUGUGGAUUGCCUGGCGCUGUUGAAGCGCGCACUGAGACGUAGCUGAGCAUUCCCUACCCUAAGGAUAGCUGCGGAGGACCCCAGCCGGCAGGCGUCCUUACCCUGUGAAUUGCGUGGCGCUGCUGAAGCCCUGCACUGAGAUCUAGCUGAGCAUUCCCUACCCCUCAGAUGGGGCAGAGGACCCCGGCGGGCGUCCUUGCCCUGUGGAUUGCCUGGCACUGCUGAAGAGUGCUCUGAGACCUAGCUGAGCAUUCCCGACCCUGCUGUUGGCUGUGGGGGACCUGUUGAGUGCCUUUACCCUAUGGACUAUGGCAAGGGUGAGACUGCAUUCCUUGAUGGGCAUUCUUAUCCUUCAGAUGGGGGCAAUUCUGUGGCUGUUCAUUGAGGAUAUGAGCUAGUGUCAUUCCCUGUAGGACUGUGGCAUGUCUGUAGCCACGCACCCAGGACCUGGGUAGGCAUCAUUACCCUGGGAGCAGUGGCAGAGCUGUGACUGAGAACGAGGACCCAGGCAGGCUCCUCACUGCGGACUGCAGCACAGCUGUGGUUGUGCACCAAGGACCCACUCAGACAGGCUUUCUUACCCUGUGGACAGCAGCUUGGCAGCCACUGGGUGCCAGCAACUGGGACGGUGUUCUUACCCUGUGGACUGUGGCACAGCUGGGGCUAUGCACCCCAAGACCCAGCUGGGCAUUCCUAUCCUGCUGACUGUCGCACGUCUGUGGCCAGGAGUUUUUACCCUGCAGACAGCAGCACAGCUGCGGCUGCACCCUAGGCACCUAGACGGGUUCUGUUAUCUUGUAGGCUGUGGCAGCACGGUGGCACACACCCACAAUGCAAGCGGGUAUAUUAUGCUGUGAAUGGCAACACAGGCUGAGCAGCCAUGACCCAGGUGGGAGUGCUAACUCUGGGGGAGUCCUUACCCCUUGGAUGGGGGCACAGCUAUGGCUGGCACAACUCAGGUGGGCAUCUUUACCCUGCCGACAGUGGCAGGGGUGCACAUGGAGGACUCAGGUGAGUGUUCUCAUCCUGUGGACUGUGUUACUGCUGUGGCUGUGUACUGAGGAGCUGGGCAGGCGUUCCUCCUCUGCUGACUGUGACACAGCACCAGCUGCACCGAGAACCAGGGCAGGUGUCUUGACUCUGUCACCUGUAGCCCUGCUGCAGUGCCCAAGAACCAACUUGGAGCCAGGCAGAGGAGGUCCCUCCCCUCCUGACUGCAGCGCACCUCCACCUGUGCCCUGAAGACCUGUGUGAGCAUCUUUGCCCUGCCCUGCGACAUUGCUCUGGCCAUACACCAACGACCUGGACAGGUUUUCACACCCGAAGCCCAAGCGUCCCUUCCGUUGGUUCCUGUGGCUGAUGCAGCCAGCUGUGCACUGUGAGCUGCUGCAGGAGGAGCUGCAGAGACAUGUUCUUCUUGACUUCUCAGUGUAGGAAUGUCUCACGUCCAGUCCACGUUCCUGUCGUGGUCCUCCUCUCUGCUCUUUCUACGCUUCCUCCACAGUGGUCUCCUGCACACUCACGGCUGUGGCACCAGAGGAGGGCAUCUUCUGCAUUUCUGAAUUCCAGGCACCCCUCUCCACCUGCUACUCACUGUCUCCACUGGGUGUCUUCUGGUCAUCCCUCGCUCAACGUGACUGUUGGCUUACUCCCAGCUGGCUUUGCAGUUUCCCUUGCUGUGUUGACGGCAGUUCCAUCCUUCAGUGGCUUAAGCCGGAUACCUUAGAGUCAUUCUUGACUCUCUUCAACUUCAUACCGGUUCCUCAAGUGGAUUCUGUUUCUUCUAUCUCUAAAAUGUAUCCAGAAGCAGCUACUUCUUGCCUUCUUUCACGGAUUCAGGCCACUAUUUGCACCCACUUGGAUUAUUGCAAUAAUUUCCUGACUGGAUUCCACGUUUCCAGCUUUUCUGUCUGCAGUCUCUUUUGUUUUCGACAUGUGGCUGGAGGGAUGCUGUUAUCAUCUCAGUGAGAUGUAUCAUUGGCUCCCUAGCUGCUCAGAGUAAAAUCUCAACUUUUUACAAUGGCCUGAAAGGCCCUCCAUAACCCUGCCCCCUCCCACUUACCUACCUGUCUCCUCUCCUCCCUCCGACACUCAGCCCUGUGUAUUUUAGCUACUGAAGGAAUAUGUGGGCACGCUGCUAAUUUAUUGUCUUCACGGAGGCUUGAGUUGUGCAUUCACUAUUUCAAACAUUUACGGGUGGACUCUGGCAAUCAACAGUCAUAUGAGUCCCCCCUGCAAAUGAGGGAGUGUACUAGGUGCAAUGUAUGUCCUCCGUCACGUGGUUUGCCCUUGAUACAGAGUCAACCAGGUAGUACUGUUGGUCCUGCUUUGUAGCUGAGGGAGCUUAGACCCAGAAAAUGAAGGAAGUUGCCCAGAGUUACAUGCUAGGAAGUGGUGGAGCUGGGAUUCAAACUCAGAGUUCAGGCUUUGUCUCCAUCUCGGAGAGGCUUCCCUCUUCCUGAAAUGCUGUUCCCCGGUUAUCUGCGAGGCUGCAGUCCUCCCCUCUUUCAGGUCUUUGCUGAAUUAGAACCUUCUCCUUAAGGCAGGGCUGAUGCUGAGCACCACAUUUAAAAUUUUCUGCUCUCCCAGGACCCCUUCUCAGUCCCUCUGCUUGGCUCAUUUCAGGUUUCUGGCAUGUCAUGCCCUUUAAUAAAUAUUGCAAGUGUUUCUCCAUGAGUGUAAGAAAGUUUUUGUUUGUUUGUUUGUUUUUGGUGGGGUUGAUUUUUCAUGGCCCAGGGUUUCUUUGGGUCCUGUCUGGAGGCCUGAAGGCCAUGCUGGGCUUCUGGGGAGUGGGUCCCCUUCCUGCGGCCUCCCUCCUCCCUUUCGUGUUUCUCACUCCUCUGUGUCCCUGGGAAAUGUUGCUGGAUAAAGAUGCAGCUUUUAAUUAAUGCAACUGUUCAAGAUUACAGCCAAUCAUCAGCUUUCUAACCAGUGCCUCAUGGCUCUGCUGGAAAGAGCCUUGCUCUGGUGAUGGUUAAUUUGCUGCCAUUCCCUGUCCCAGACCAGAGAAGGUCCCCUCACUGUCAACAUUCCAUCUGUCAGGUGCAUGUUAUAAAACUGCCUUCAUGAUCAGCUCAUUCACGCACCAGCUUUAGGUUCUAGGAACUGCCAGCCAUGGUGUUGAAGACCUGCUCGAGCUGAGCCUCCAGCCAGACAUCUGAUGUUCACAUCUCAGGGCUCCUUGUUGCUUGUGUAGCCUGAGAGCUAUGGCCGUGGCAGGUAAACCCUGGUAUGGAGUUUGGAAAGAAGAGACCCUUUAUUAUUGUAGCACGACCACUGGAUUGGGCUUCUGGAAAUCCAAUUCUAAUCAGACUUGGGUUAUGCAUUUACUAUUUAAAUAAAACAUUUAUGGGUGGACCCUGGUAAUCAACAGUCAAGUUUUCGGUACUCACUGCCAGGUGAGGAAAUGUACUAGGUGCG
Cebus imitator (Panamanian white-faced capuchin) is the source of this 5290-nucleotide long non-coding RNA. RefSeq lists it as uncharacterized. The record is from RefSeq and is a predicted model, not a curated record. The transcript has 2 exons. NCBI's taxonomy places the organism in Eukaryota, Metazoa, Chordata, Mammalia, Primates, Cebidae.